CAACCUGCCUGUAAGACUGGGAUAACUCCGGGAAACCGGGGCUAAUACCGGAUAANUCUUUNCCUCACAUGAGGAAAAGCUGAAAGAUGGCAUCUCGCUAUCACUUACAGAUGGGCCCGCGGCGCAUUANNUAGUUGGUGAGGUAACGGCUCACCAAGGCGACGAUGCGUAGCCNACCUGAGAGGGUGAUCGGCCACACUGGGACUGAGACACGGCCCANACUCCUACGGGAGGCAGCAGUAGGGAAUCUUCCGCAAUGGACGAAAGUCUGACGGAGCAACGCCGCGUGAGUGAUGAAGGUUUUCGGAUCGUAAAACUCUGUUGUCAGGGAAGAACAAGUACCGGAGUAACUGCCGGUACCUUGACGGUACCUGACCAGAAAGCCACGGCUAACUACGUGCCAGCAGCCGCGGUAAUACGUAGGUGGCAAGCGUUGUCCGGAAUUAUUGGGCGUAAAGCGCGCGCAGGCGGUUCCUUAAGUCUGAUGUGAAAGCCCCCGGCUCAACCGGGGAGGGUCAUUGGAAACUGGGGAACUUGAGUGCAGAAAAGAAGAGUGGAAUUCCACGUGUAGCGGUGAAAUGCGUAGAGAUGUGGAGGAACACCAGUGGCGAAGGCGACUCUUUGGUCUGUAACUGACGCUGAGGCGCGAAAGCGUGGGGAGCAAACAGGAUUAGAUACCCUGGUAGUCCACGCCGUAAACGAUGAGUGCUAAGUGUUAAAGGGUUUCCNCCCUUUAGUGCUGCAGCAAACGCAUUAAGCACUCCNCCUGGGGGAGUACGGCCNCAAGGCUGAANCUCAAAGGAAUUGACGGGGGGCCCGCACAAGCGGUGGANCAUGUGGUUUAAUUCNANGCACCNCGAAAAACCUUACCNGGUCUUGACAUCUCNUGACAACCCUUAGAGAUAGGGCGUUCCCNUUCGGGGGACAGGAUGACAGGGGGGCAGGUUNUCCNC
This 953-nucleotide ribosomal RNA is filed under the name marine bacterium SIMO-1636. Its description in RNAcentral is "bacterial SSU rRNA". It matches the Rfam family "Bacterial small subunit ribosomal RNA", at positions 122 to 1056 of the family's 1533-position model. The record is from RNAcentral.